GGGGAAAAGAAACCAACAGGGAUUGCCUCAGUAACGGCGAGUGAAGCGGCAAGAGCUCAAAUUUGAAAGCUGGCCCCUUCGGGGUCCGCGUUGUAAUUUGCAGAGGAUGCUUCGGGUGCAGCCCCCGUCUAAGUGCCCUGGAACGGGCCGUCAUAGAGGGUGAGAAUCCCGUCUGGGACGGGGUGUCUGCGUCCGUGUGAAGCUCCUUCGACGAGUCGAGUUGUUUGGGAAUGCAGCUCUAAAUGGGUGGUAAAUUUCAUCUAAAGCUAAAUACUGGCCGGAGACCGAUAGCGCACAAGUAGAGUGAUCGAAAGAUGAAAAGCACUUUGAAAAGAGAGUUAAACAGCACGUGAAAUUGUUGAAAGGGAAGCGUUUGCGACCAGACUCGCCCGCGGGGUUCAGCCGGCAUUCGUGCCGGUGUACUUCCCCGUGGGCGGGCCAGCGUCGGUUUGGGCGGCCGGUCAAAGGCCCUCGGAAUGUAUCACCUCUCGGGGUGUCUUAUAGCCGAGGGUGCAAUGCGGCCUGCCUGGACCGAGGAACGCGCUUCGGCUCGGACGCUGGCGUAAUGGUCGUAAAUGACCCGUCUUGAAACACGGACCAAGGAGUCUAACAUCUACGCGAGUGUUCGGGUGUCAAACCCGUACGCGCAGUGAAAGCGAACGGAGGUGGGAGCCCCCUCGCGGGGCGCACCAUCGACCGAUCCUGAUGUCUUCGGAUGGAUUUGAGUACGAGCGUAGCUGUGGGGACCCGAAAGAUGGUGAACUAUGCCUGAAUAGGGCGAAGCCAGAGGAAACUCUGGUGGAGGCUCGCAGCGGUUCUGACGUGCAAAUCGAUCGUCAAAUUUGGGUAUAGGGGCGAAAGACUAAUCGAACCAUCUAGUAGCUG
Molecule: ribosomal RNA, 885 nt
Filed under: Aspergillus fumigatus
Lineage: Eukaryota; Fungi; Ascomycota; Eurotiomycetes; Eurotiales; Aspergillaceae
Description: LSU rRNA
Rfam family: Eukaryotic large subunit ribosomal RNA
Source: RNAcentral